RNAcentral lists this ribosomal RNA (155 nucleotides) under Inonotus rickii. RNAcentral describes it as "5.8S ribosomal RNA". It matches the Rfam family "5.8S ribosomal RNA". From Rfam's summary of the family: 5.8S ribosomal RNA (5.8S rRNA) is a component of the large subunit of the eukaryotic ribosome. It is transcribed by RNA polymerase I as part of the 45S precursor that also contains 18S and 28S rRNA. The record is from RNAcentral. Lineage: Eukaryota; Fungi; Basidiomycota; Agaricomycetes; Hymenochaetales; Hymenochaetaceae.
UACAACUUUCAACAACGGAUCUCUUGGCUCUCGCAUCGAUGAAGAACGCAGCGAAAUGCGAUAAGUAAUGUGAAUUGCAGAGUUCAGUGAAUCAUCGAAUCUUUGAACGCACCUUGCGCCCCUUGGUAUUCCGAGGGGCAUGCCUGUUUGAGUGU